RNAcentral lists this long non-coding RNA (622 nucleotides) under Lathyrus oleraceus (garden pea). RNAcentral describes it as "Pisum sativum (pea) long non-coding RNA (PSAT_LNC019682)". The record is from RNAcentral. Lineage: Eukaryota; Viridiplantae; Streptophyta; Magnoliopsida; Fabales; Fabaceae.
UCCUGAUGAGGUUGGAUGACCCUUUCCUCCUGCUUCAGCAAUCUGACCAAUUCUGCAGGGAGUUCACAGUCUUCCUCACUCUCCUCUUCAGCUUGGUAGAUGGGAUUGUCGAAAUCAUACUGAGCCAUAACAGAACUGUUCAUAGUGAAUGCCAUAAGAUCGCUUCUGCAUGUUUGAUGCUUUGUUUUAGAAAAAGAGUUCAAUAAAGUCACAAAAACAAAAAACAUUGCCAUUUUUAUUGUUUUUGAAAAAGAAAAAUGAAAACAAAAAAUAGAAAGACAAGGAUCACAAAGUUUGUUCAAAAAAUGUCCUUCAUUAAUGAUAAUCAUUAAAACAUGAUGAGGCCCUACAAAAAUGAAUCACUACGCCUUGGGCAGAACGUAGGAUUUUCAUGCAAAAUGACAAAACAACAGAAAAUUACUCUGUCAGAAGAGUAACUUGAACCACUUCUUCAGCCGUCCAGUUGUUGAUAGACCCCCCUGGUGCACACGGGCGAACCCAGUUGUCCAAAUCACAAUCACUGUCACAGUCUUCACUACCGGUUGCAGAGACGUCGCCAUGAUUCAUCAGCCCAGCGCUGGUAAAGGUACUCGGACCCGCUUGACCAUUCUGCUCUGCUUGG